CGCAGCGGUACAGGUGUGCAAAGCACAGGUGCACACAGGUGCACCGGUGCACAGGUGUGCCCAGGUGUGCAGGUGUGCAAAGCACAGGUGUGCAGGUGCGCAUUGUACAGGUGUGUACAGGUGUGCAAAGGUGUGUGUACAGGUGUGUACAGGUGUGUGCAGGUGUGUGCAGGUGUGUGCAGGUGUGCAAAGGUGUGUGUACAGGUGUGUAC
This 212-nucleotide long non-coding RNA is filed under the name Lonchura striata (white-rumped munia). RNAcentral's name for it is "domestica (Bengalese finch) lncRNA (ENSLSDG00000015754.1)". Lineage: Eukaryota; Metazoa; Chordata; Aves; Passeriformes; Estrildidae. The record is from RNAcentral.